RNAcentral lists this ribosomal RNA (406 nucleotides) under uncultured bacterium. Its description in RNAcentral is "partial 16S ribosomal RNA". It matches the Rfam family "Bacterial small subunit ribosomal RNA", at positions 30 to 526 of the family's 1533-position model. The record is from RNAcentral.
AUUGAACGCUGGCGGCAGGCUUAACACAUGCAAGUCGAGCGAGCGGCGGACGGGUGAGUAAUGUCUGGGAAACUGCCUGAUGGAGGGGGAUAACUACUGGAAACGGUAGCUAAUACCGCAUACCAUCAGAUGUGCCCAGAUGGGAUUAGCUUGUAGGUGGGGUAAUGGCUCACCACGGCGACGAUCCCUAGCUGGGCUGAGAGGAUGACAAGCCACACUGGAACUGAGAAACGGUCCAGACUCCUACGGGAGGCAGCAGUGGGGAAUAUUGCACAAUGGGCGCAAGCCUGAUGCAGCCAUGCCGCGUGUGUGAAGAAGGCCUUCGGGUUGUAAAGCACUUGCAGCGAGGAGGCGUUACUCGCAGAAGAAGCACCGGCUAACUCCGUGCCAGCAGCCGCGGUAAUUC